AGGGGGAGAUGACAUUUCGGUGGGACUAAAAAUCCCACGUGGAAAAUACCCAAGUUUGGUAAACAAACAGGGAGGGACUUGAAUGACGAGGGAUUUUAGGAGAGGAUAAUUAGAUGGGAUUUGCCUUAAGACUUCUCCCUCCUUUGAGUUCCGCCUAUGGAGGUGUUAUUUUGAAAUUCCACAAUGCCAAGAAUGACGACUACGUAACAGGCUUGAUUUCUCGCUCUCUCUUCUUCCUGGAUCGUUGAUCUCCAGAACUUCAUUCGGAUUGAGAAACACAAUGAUCCAUUGUUGGAAGCUGAAGACUUACAUCUUUUACAUUUAGUUGAUCGUGAGUUGACAAUGAGGCCAAUAGAAACCAAUGAAGAGGAGAUUAGAACUGUUGAAGCCACUAAUGAGUGGAUUGUAUUUCGUGAUCAAUUGGCGAUGCAUAUGUUUGCUGACUAUCAAAGGCGUCGAGCUCAACAAGCGCAACAAGAACAAGGAGACCUUGCAAAUGUUUCAUAAUUUCGAAGUUUUGUUGUGACUUUUUAAAUUUCUAGAGUUUUUUAUGAUUUUUUUAUUUUAAUGGAAGUGUUGGAAUUAA
Molecule: long non-coding RNA, 586 nt
Organism: Rosa chinensis
Lineage: Eukaryota; Viridiplantae; Streptophyta; Magnoliopsida; Rosales; Rosaceae
Exons: 2
Source: RefSeq, a predicted model, not a curated record